RNAcentral lists this long non-coding RNA (484 nucleotides) under Chinchilla lanigera (long-tailed chinchilla). Its description in RNAcentral is "lncRNA (ENSCLAG00000023932.1)". The record is from RNAcentral. Lineage: Eukaryota; Metazoa; Chordata; Mammalia; Rodentia; Chinchillidae.
UAUAAGACCCUGAGGGAAAGAAAGAAGAUGUAUCAAGUUUGAGUUUGUUAAGGAAUAGCGCUGUGAAAUUUGUUUCCGGGAUUAAUAACACAAGCCUGACCAAAGGUUUUAUGAUAAAAUGGGAUAGAGUGACAGAAACCAAACCAAAGCUACAGCGCAGAACCCGCAGCCCAGCAUGACCUUGUGGUCCUUCUCCACAUCAGCAACCAGCAGAAGCGACAGGAUCCCCAGCCAGGAAUACUUUCCCCCAAGCAGGUAAGAAACACGAGGUUGAUGUUGAAUGCUUCAAGAAGCCGCUGGUGGUCAUAGUAAAUCUCCUAAAGACCUACAGAUCCUUAGAAAAGAUCACUAAAGAAAAGCUCACUAAAAGGCAAGAUAUGCAUUGCUGAAUACAUGAAAAUCUUUCUUAUCUUCAGGAGUGUGUCUCCGUGUGUGUCUGUGUGUCUAUACGGACAAAUGUGUGCAAGUAUAUAUAUACAUAAAG